Prunus mume (Japanese apricot) is the source of this 1060-nucleotide non-coding RNA. The record is from RefSeq and is a predicted model, not a curated record. Lineage: Eukaryota; Viridiplantae; Streptophyta; Magnoliopsida; Rosales; Rosaceae.
GAAGCAUCUUGUCGUGUCUUCGGCAGGUGGAGAUUUCGUGGGCAAGCUCGUUCGGUAGGCAUAUCUGGUCACAGCCUUUCUUGAGUCUGGGAAUUGGAGCUGGGACCGUGACUGUCCUCCCUUUGAAUUCUCACGGCCCUUGCCGUUCGGCAAGGGUGGGGGUGCGAGUUGUUUUCCAGCAAGGCUUUGGAAGGGGCUCGAUUGGAGUGGUCACCAAGGCAUCGGCAAGAGUGGAGCUGGAACCGUGAUGGGAUAGGUUCUCUUUAAGGCCUCCAUUUCCAAUGAUCAAACCUUACCGUUCGGCAAGGGUGGGCUAAGUUGUUUUUGACACCACCGGUGUGGCACCACGAUCCGUGCUCUUUGGUAAGGACCAUCUGGGGCUAGUCUUAUCGUUCUGAAGUGUGUGGCGGAGAGGGUUUCGAGGGCACCCCCGGAGCUGGGCCCGUGGUGGCGUCAUCUCGUUAGGCGGGCCUUUACUGGAUUCGCCGGAGCUUGAGCAUAAGUGAGCUUGGAACCAGGCUUGGGUGACCGUGGCUGGUAUUGAGGAAAUAGGCUGAGCCCACGUGUGCUGGAGCCUAGGCUCAGAAGCUAGGCUUGUGUCAGAGCUGGGUCGUCCGAGUUGGUAAUUUUUGCAAUCUAUUUCCAGGUUUUGGGUUCUGAGAGCUGUCGGCAAAGUUUUGUUGUUGGACACCACCGGUUCGGCAAGGCACACCGAGGGCUAGUUGUCGUCGUUGGAGAUCCCCAACGGUAAAAGAGUGCUGGAGUAGACUUGGAGACUCGGUGCUCGGUAAAAUUUGCAGGCCGAGGUCGGGCUCAGCAAGAACUUUGAGGAGGUUCCUCUUAUCGUCAGCAUAGCCCUUGCCGUUCGGCAAGGGUGCUAUGAGGCUUUGCUAGCAUUUCAGUGUUGGAUUUUUGGAAUUGUAACUGGGUUCUGGCGUUAGAAAUCUGUCGACAAGGCCAGCUUCCACACGGCAGGGCCGUGACAUUGUAAGUCUUCCCUAAGUACUCCUACCCUAUGCACAACUGAAGUCUUCUCUAUCAUCCCUGUAAAUAAAUCAAA